Molecule: unclassified non-coding RNA, 391 nt
Filed under: soil metagenome
Description: partial contains 5.8S ribosomal RNA, internal transcribed spacer 2, and large subunit ribosomal RNA
Rfam family: 5.8S ribosomal RNA (bases 1-122)
Source: RNAcentral
GAUGAAGAACGCAGCGAAAUGCGAUACUUGGUGUGAAUUGCAGAAUCCCGUGAACCAUCGAGUCUUUGAACGCAAGUUGCGCCCGAAGCCAUUAGGCCGAGGGCACGCCUGCCUGGGCGUCACACGACGUUGCCCCCCCAUCUACUCCUUCGGGAUUGCGGGGGGCGGAUGAUGGCCUCCCGUGCGCCUCGCCGCGCGGUUGGCAUAAAUGCCAAGGCCUCGGCGACGCACGCCACGACAAUCGGUGGUUGCGAAACCUCGGUUGCCCGUCGUGUGCGGUCGUCGCGCAUCGAGGGCUCGAAAAAAUUGCCGGGUUCCGGCUCGGCUUUCAACGCGACCCCAGGUCAGGCGGGGUUACCCGCUGAAUUUAAGCAUAUCAAUAAGCGGAGGA